Molecule: transfer RNA, 85 nt
Filed under: Sphingomonas sp.
Lineage: Bacteria; Pseudomonadati; Pseudomonadota; Alphaproteobacteria; Sphingomonadales; Sphingomonadaceae
Also listed under: 35 other names
Description: tRNA-Leu
Rfam family: tRNA
About the family: Transfer RNA (tRNA) molecules are approximately 80 nucleotides in length.
Source: RNAcentral
GCCCCUGUGGCGAAAUUGGUAGACGCGACCGACUCAAAAUCGGUUGCCGCAAGGCAUGCUGGUUCGAUUCCGGCCAGGGGCACCA